GGGCCAGUAGCUCAUCGGUAGAGCAUCAACCUUAUAAGUUGAGGGUACUUGGAUCGUCCCCAAGCUGGCCCA
Candidatus Gottesmanbacteria bacterium is the source of this 72-nucleotide non-coding RNA. NCBI's taxonomy places the organism in Bacteria, Candidatus Gottesmaniibacteriota. The record is from Rfam.